AUUGAACGCUGGCGGCAGGCCUAACACAUGCAAGUCGAACGGUAGCACAGAGAGCUUGCUCUCGGGUGACGAGUGGCGGACGGGUGAGUAAUGUCUGGGAAACUGCCUGAUGGAGGGGGAUAACUACUGGAAACGGUAGCUAAUACCGCAUAACGUCGCAAGAUCAAAGAGGGGGACCUUCGGGCCUCUUGCCAUCAGAUGUGCCCAGAUGGGAUUAGCUAGUAGGUGGGGUAACGGCUCACCUAGGCGACGAUCCCUAGCUGGUCUGAGAGGAUGACCCGCCACACUGGAACUGAGACACGGUCCAGACUCCUACGGGAGGCAGCAGUGGGGAAUAUUGCACAAUGGGCGCAAGCCUGAUGCAGCCAUGCCGCGUGUAUGAAGAAGGCCUUCGGGUUGUAAAGUACUUUCAGCGGGGAGGAAGGUGUUGUGGUUAAUAACCACAGCAAUUGACGUUACCCGCAGAAGAAGCACCGGCUAACUCCGUGCCAGCCGCCGCAGUAA
This 504-nucleotide ribosomal RNA is filed under the name uncultured bacterium. RNAcentral's name for it is "partial 16S ribosomal RNA". It matches the Rfam family "Bacterial small subunit ribosomal RNA", at positions 30 to 523 of the family's 1533-position model. The record is from RNAcentral.